Molecule: long non-coding RNA, 487 nt
Filed under: Equus caballus (horse)
Lineage: Eukaryota; Metazoa; Chordata; Mammalia; Perissodactyla; Equidae
Description: lncRNA (ENSECAG00000053805.1)
Source: RNAcentral
GGGAGGAACAGCAGCGUGAGCUGGAGGAAUCAGGGAAGACUUCUACGAGAUAUGAGACUUGGGCUGGCCCCUGGAAGGACAACAGGGAAGAGCAAUAAUCUCUAUAAAGACAGGGGCAGAGAUGAGUCUGUUCACGGCCUUGGAAGGUGGUAUUUUACAACAGGCAUAUGGUGCUGGCUUCGAUCAGAGAUCAUUUCCACUUGUGUGCCGCUUCUCAUGAUAAAUAAGAAACCCAUCAGAGAAGUAUCCUCGUGGGAAAACAGCCCAAUGCAAACCCUUGAUGGAUUACAUAGGAAUGGCUCUCCAUGAAAAUAAGUUCACCACAAAAUUUGAGCUAUCGUUAUAACAUCCUGAUUAUCUCAGAAUAAUAACUGUUUGGAGCCAUUGUGAUAUUCAUAAAGUAUCAGAGCUUUAACAAAAUGAAAACAUGCCAGAGAAUAAAUACCCUUCACAUUUUAUGGAACUACUCGAUUUGAAUAAAAUAAAC